This 1052-nucleotide long non-coding RNA is filed under the name Diabrotica virgifera virgifera (western corn rootworm). RNAcentral describes it as "uncharacterized LOC126884862". Lineage: Eukaryota; Metazoa; Arthropoda; Insecta; Coleoptera; Chrysomelidae. The record is from RNAcentral.
ACAGCCGGUUUCCGAAACGUUAUUCAAAUCUUCGAUCAUCUAAUCGAGCUGUUAGAUUUGAUCAACUGUUAACCAGUGACCAGUUUCUCAAACGUCGAUCAUCUUAAAAUUAUAUGAUCGUAGAAAAUCGAUUAUCUGACAUACGAUUUGGUAUCGAUACUGUCACAAUCGGCUGUCAUCCUUCAAAAUUUCAUUUUAUAACCAAAAAAUUUCAAUCCAUAGUAAAUAACUACAUAAUUUAUAAAAUUAAAAAAUAUAUUAAAAAUGAGCAAUACCAACGGAAAUCCUCCACGCAAAAAUUAUACUGAGAGAGAAAUGUUUGCUGUUGGAAAUAAUUGGAAAAUACAAGCAUAUUAUAAUUGAAAACAAAUAAUGUACCAAUGCUAUGUCCACCAACCAAAACAAUGAAACUUGGGAAAAAUAGCACUGGAAUUUAAUGCCAGCGCUGAAUUUCCCAGAACUCCCAAGCAGCUGAACACUGAAAAGUAGCAAUGGAAAAUAUUCAAAAAUAUAAUGAGCAGAAGGUUUUGGACCAGUUGAAAAGAGACCAAACUGCGGACAAAAAAGACAUACUUGCACUCUGGUGAUGGCACAUUUAGGCCUCGUCUCACAGAUGUAGGGGCACAAAUGUUGGGUUUGAUUGGCAAUCAAAUCCAAUCUUUACCCAACAGUUGUUACAGUGCAUCUGGUUUCUUCACAUCUGUUGCUCAAGAUAGUCAAGUGGAAGUAGAUUACCUACAAUUGGAAGACACAUAGCAGAUGUCCAAUGUACCCUCUACUUCCACUGUGCUGCUCAGUACACCCACAACAACUGCUGUCCUGCCCAAGAAGACAGCCAAGAUGUCUCAGGCUCGUUCAAAAAAUAAAAAAUUAAAAGAUGUAGGGAGCGAAACUCUUAAUGUAUCUUUUACAAAAAAAAAAAAAAAAAAAAAUUGAAAUAGCAAGACUAGAAAAAAGAAGUAAGAUAGUAUUUUUCAACAAGAAAAAAAGAAAUUUUAGAAGUAGAGCUUCAAAUAAAAAAAUUCGAACUCAUAAAUUAUUAGGUAAUAGUG